Podarcis lilfordi (Lilford's wall lizard) is the source of this 2166-nucleotide non-coding RNA. The record is from the annotation of a GenBank genome assembly. NCBI's taxonomy places the organism in Eukaryota, Metazoa, Chordata, Lepidosauria, Squamata, Lacertidae.
CAAGCUGCGGAGAACAGGGAGGAUAUUGCCAGGUGCCACUAACUCUGAAAUGUCCCUAUGGAUAUAUUCCAGCCAACUGUGGCAUUAAUGGAAUCUGCUGCAAGAGUAAGUGAAAUACAGUGAGUUGGUCAUGCUAACAAGGGGGAAUGUUUGUUCAUUUUUAAUCCUGGUUUUUCACCCUGAUUUCCCGAUCUACGCUCUAGAUCUUCACUGGAGGAAACAGCAGCAGGGCUUGUGCUAAAGGAAAAAGUGGUCAAUCACUUUAUAAAUCAGAAUAGCUGAUAAUAUUCUCAGGGCAUACUAACCCUAUUCAUAGUACAGUGGUACCUUGGGUUAAGUACUUAAUUCGUUCCGGAGGUCAAUUCUUAACCUGAAACUGUUCUUAACCAGAAGCACCACUUUAGCUAAUGGGGCCUCCUGCUGCUGCUGCACCGCAGGAGCACAAUUUCUGUUCUCAUCCUGAAGCAAAGUUCUUAACCUGAAGCACUAUUUCUGGGUUAGCGGAGUCUGCAACCUGAAGCAUAUGUAACCUGAAGGGUAUGUAACCUGAGGUACCACUGUAGUACAAAGUAUGAUUCAGUUCUCAAGCUGCACUUCUAGGUGACCAAACUGAGCCUUCUGAUGUGUAUUUUUCUCCAUGAGGCUUAGUUUCAUCAGAAUCGAGUACAGUGGUACCUCAGGUUACAAAUGCUUUGGGUUACGUGUUUUCAGGAUGGGGACAGCGGGAAACCCAGAAGUACUGGUAAGGGUUACUUCUGGGUGUCGCCACUCGUGCAUGUGCAGAACUGCUAAAUUGUGCUUCGUGGAAAUGCGCAGAAGCGCCAAAUCGCAUCACACGUGUGCGCAGACGCGGCCCUGCAGGUUACGAACGCUGCGGGUUGUGGACGUGUCUUCGUCACGGUUUACAUCCGCAACCCGAGGUUCCACUGUACACACUUCCAGAGCUAAUGCUAAAUACAUUAAUUCUGGUAAAGGAGCCGCCAUAGCCACUAGAGAGCAUUGAAAAUUGGAUCUUGGGCUUUUUAAACUGGUCUACCCAUGUACUAUCUGAAACCAAAAGGGCACAUUGCCUGCCAGAAUUCUUUUCAGCGGACUAGGCCUGCACGCCUUCUUCCCUGUCUGCUACAGAUUCCUGCGUUUCAGGGUAGCAUACCCUCCAACAUUUCUCCAAAGAAAAUAGGGACGUCCCAUUCCAUCAUGAUAAUUUAACUAUGUAUACCCCACACAUCUUAUUGGGUUGCUUCCAAUAUAUAUAUAAAAACAUAAUAAAACAUUAAAUAUUGUAAAAACUUCAGAUGGCUCAGGUGCUGCAUUUCUCUAAUGAAAAUAGAGAUAUUCUAAGGAAAAGUGGGGGAUGUCGGUGGUGCUGUGGGUUAAACCACUGAGCCUAGGGCUUGCUGAUCGGAAGGUUGGCAGUUCAAAUCCCCACGACAGGGUGAGCUCCCGUUGCUCAGUCCCUGCUCCUGCCAACCUAGCAGUUCGAAAGCAUGUCAAAGUGCAAGUGGAUAAAUAGGUACCACUCCAGCGGGAAGGUAAACGGUGUUUCUGUGCGCUGCUCUGGUUUGUCAGAAGCGGCUUAGUCAUGCUGGCCACAUGACCGGGAAGAUGUACGCCGGCUCCCUCGGCCAGUAAAGCAAGAUGAGCGCCGCAAUCCCAGAGUUGUCCGCAACUGGACCUAAUGGUCAGGGGUCUCUUUACCUAAGGAAAAGUGGGAUAUUCCAGGAUCAAAUCAGAAACCAGGACGGCUUCUCUAAAUCAGGGAUAUCCCUGGAAAAUAGGGACACUUGGAGGGUCUGGGGGUAGGACUAAAUGUUAUUUUGAGCCCUUCAAACUCUACAAUUCUAUGAUCCCCUUGCAUCAUCUGAAGGUGAGGAAUCUGACUUUGGGGCCAUGAACGAUAGAUCUCCUUGUUUCUUUGAUGCAGAUAAACCACCAACAAUGCCCGAGUGCGAUAGACUGGGAGGGUUCUGCCAAGAGGAUCUCAGCAAACCCUGUCCAUCUGGUCGGAAUCUUCCGAGUUACUGUGGCGUCAAUACACAAUGCUGUGCCCUUGAAGGAUACCCGUGAGCAGCCCACCUCCAUGGUUAUGAAAGUCCGAUGGCUAUGCCAGUUCUUCUAGAUCUUUGCUUGUGGAAGUGGAGCAGAUCUGCGCAUGUGUGAAAGCAG